GCGGUUCAAAAGGAACUGCGGCCUAUAAGUUUGUUUAAAUUGCAAAAAUGCCACCGCCUUUACAUAUACUGCGGUUUUCUCAAAACCGAGACGUAUUACCCGCGGUCUUUUUCACAUUUUGCACUAGUGUCAAGGUCUAUAAAUAGAGAGCCAGGGCCACAAGACAGGUACCUUCAAAUCAUCUUUCAAUCACACUUCAUUCACAUUCUACUCAUGCUUCAUUCACAC
RNAcentral lists this long non-coding RNA (228 nucleotides) under Vigna radiata. Its description in RNAcentral is "long non-coding RNA (VRAD_LNC015212)". Lineage: Eukaryota; Viridiplantae; Streptophyta; Magnoliopsida; Fabales; Fabaceae. The record is from RNAcentral.